Molecule: ribosomal RNA, 483 nt
Filed under: uncultured bacterium
Lineage: Bacteria
Description: partial 16S ribosomal RNA
Rfam family: Bacterial small subunit ribosomal RNA
Source: RNAcentral
AUUGAACGCUGGCGGCAGGCCUAACACAUGCAAGUCGAGCGGAUGAAGGGAGCUUGCUCCUGGAUUCAGCGGCGGACGGGUGAGUAAUGCCUAGGAAUCUGCCUGGUAGUGGGGGAUAACGUCCGGAACGGGCGCUUAUUCCGCCUACGUCCCGAGGGGGGAAGGGGGGGGUCUUUGGAACUCACGCUUUCCGAUUAACCUAGGUCGGAUUAGCUAGUUGGUGGGGUAAAGGCCUACCAAGGCGACGAUCCGUAACUGGUCUGAGAGGAUGAUCAGUCACACUGGAACUGAGACACGGUCCAGACUCCUACGGGAGGCAGCAGUGGGGAAUAUUGGACAAUGGGCGAAAGCCUGAUCCAGCCAUGCCGCGUGUGUGAAGAAGGUCUUCGGAUUGUAAAGCACUUUAAGUUGGGAGGAAGGGCAGUAAGUUAAUACCUUGCUGUUUUGACGUUACCAACAGAAUAAGCACCGGCUAACUUCGUG